AUCCGUCUUCAGGGCGGGGUGGAAUUCCCCACCGGCGGUAGGCAGCGCAAGCUGCGAGCCCGCGAGCGCCCGGGCCGCGCCAGCGGUCCGGGGUCAGCAGACCCAGUCCGAUGCUGGGGCCGACGGUCAAAGUCCGGAUGAAAGAAGAUGCGC
RNAcentral lists this non-coding RNA (153 nucleotides) under Ramlibacter sp. Leaf400. RNAcentral's name for it is "FMN riboswitch aptamer (RFN element)". It matches the Rfam family "FMN riboswitch aptamer (RFN element)". Rfam says of the family: The RFN element is a highly conserved domain that is found frequently in the 5'-untranslated regions of prokaryotic mRNAs that encode for flavin mononucleotide (FMN) biosynthesis and transport proteins. The record is from Rfam by way of RNAcentral. Lineage: Bacteria; Pseudomonadati; Pseudomonadota; Betaproteobacteria; Burkholderiales; Comamonadaceae. RNAcentral also lists the same sequence under 1 other name.